GAGAAAAUGUUGCAUAUCCUAGAGAAGUAGAAUCUCUUUCAGGGUUGAGGACUAUUGCUGUUGCAUGUGGGGUGUGGCAUACUGCUGCUGUAGUGGAGGUUAUUGUUACACAAUCUAGUGCUAGUGUUUCAUCUGGGAAAUUGUUUACUUGGGGUGAUGGAGACAAAAAUCGACUUGGACAUGGAGACAAGGAACCUCGGCUUAAACCUACAUGUGUGCCAGCAUUAAUUGAUUACAAUUUUCACAA
This 247-nucleotide unclassified non-coding RNA is filed under the name Hevea brasiliensis (rubber tree). The record is from RNAcentral. Lineage: Eukaryota; Viridiplantae; Streptophyta; Magnoliopsida; Malpighiales; Euphorbiaceae.